UCGUGCUAUUCCUAGAGAUAGGAAGUUCCUUCGGGACACGGGAUACAGGUGGUGCAUGGUUGUCGUCAGCUCGUGUCGUGAGAUGUUGGGUUAAGUCCCGCAACGAGCGCAACCCUUAUUGUUAGUUGCCGUCAUUAAGUUGGGCACUCUAGCGAGACUGCCGGUAAUAAACCGGAGGAAGGUGGGGAUGACGUCAAAUCAUCAUGCCCCUUAUGACCUGGGCUACACACGUGCUACAAUGGUUGGUACAACGAGUCGCAAGACAGUGAUGUCAAGCUAAUCUCUUAAAGCCAAUCUCAGUUCGGAUUGUAGGCUGCAACUCGCCUACAUGAAGUCGGAAUCGCUAGUAAUCGCGGAUCAGCACGCCGCGGUGAAUACGUUCCCGGGCCUUGUACACACCGCCCGUCACACCACGAGAGUUUGUAAUACCCAAAGCCGGUGAGCUAACCUUUUAGGAGGCAGCCGUCUAAGGUAGGAUAGAUGAUUGGGGUGAAGUC
RNAcentral lists this ribosomal RNA (497 nucleotides) under uncultured Lactococcus sp. RNAcentral describes it as "bacterial SSU rRNA". It matches the Rfam family "Bacterial small subunit ribosomal RNA", at positions 990 to 1487 of the family's 1533-position model. The record is from RNAcentral. Lineage: Bacteria; Bacillati; Bacillota; Bacilli; Lactobacillales; Streptococcaceae.